Molecule: ribosomal RNA, 253 nt
Filed under: uncultured bacterium
Lineage: Bacteria
Description: partial 16S ribosomal RNA
Rfam family: Bacterial small subunit ribosomal RNA
Source: RNAcentral
UACAGGGGGGGCAAGCGUUGUUCGGAAUUACUGGGCGUAAAGGGCCAGUAGGCGGCCAACUAAGUCCGACGUGAAAUCCCCAGGCUUAACCUGGGAACUGCGUCGGAUACUGGAUGGCUUGAAUUCGGGAGAGGGAUGCAGAAUUCCAGGUGUAGCGGUGAAAUGCGUAGAUAUCUGGAGGAACACCGGUGGCGAAGGCGGCAUCCUGGACCAACACUGACACUGAGGAGCGAAAGCCAGGGGAGCAAACGGG